RNAcentral lists this transfer RNA (69 nucleotides) under Panstrongylus rufotuberculatus. RNAcentral describes it as "tRNA-His". The record is from RNAcentral. Lineage: Eukaryota; Metazoa; Arthropoda; Insecta; Hemiptera; Reduviidae.
ACUUGAGUAGUUUAAUUAGAAUAAUAAUUUGUGGAAUUAUAGGUGUUGUGUUAAGGAAAACCUCAAGUC